RNAcentral lists this non-coding RNA (27 nucleotides) under Mus musculus (house mouse). The record is from RNAcentral. Lineage: Eukaryota; Metazoa; Chordata; Mammalia; Rodentia; Muridae.
UGCACACACUGCCCAGCGAUGCUUUGC